CUUAUGCGUUGUUGGGUAGGGGAGCGUUCUGUAAGCCUGCGAAGGUGGCCUGUGAGGGUUGCUGGAGGUAUCAGAAGUGCGAAUGCUGACAUAAGUAACGAUAAAGCGGGUGAAAAGCCCGCUCGCCGGAAGACCAAGGGUUCCUGUCCAACGUUAAUCGGGGCAGGGUGAGUCGACCCCUAAGGCGAGGCCGAAAGGCGUAGUCGAUGGGAAACGGGUUAAUAUUCCCGUACUUGGUGUUACUGCGAAGGGGGGACGGAGAAGGCUAUGUUGGCCGGGCGACGGUUGUCCCGGUUUAAGUGUGUAGGUGUGUGUUCCAGGUAAAUCCGGUUCACUUUAACACUGAGGCGUGACGACGAGGCACUACGGUGCUGAAGCAACAAAUGCCCUGCUUCCAGGAAAAGCCUCUAAGCAUCAGGUAACAUCAAAUCGUACCCCAAACCGACACAGGUGGUCAGGUAGAGAAUACCAAGGCGCUUGAGAGAACUCGGGUGAAGGAACUAGGCAAAAUGGUGCCGUAACUUCGGGAGAAGGCACGCUGACACGUAGGUGAAGUGAUUUACUCAUGGAGCUGAAGUCAGUCGAAGAUACCAGCUGGCUGCAACUGUUUAUUAAAAACACAGCACUGUGCAAACACGAAAGUGGACGUAUACGGUGUGACGCCUGCCCGGUGCCGGAAGGUUAAUUGAUGGGGUCAGCGCAAGCGAAGCUCCUGAUCGAAGCCCCGGUAAACGGCGGCCGUAACUAUAACGGUCCUAAGGUAGCGAAAUUCCUUGUCGGGUAAGUUCCGACCUGCACGAAUGGCGUAAUGAUGGCCAGGCUGUCUCCACCCGAGACUCAGUGAAAUUGAACUCGCUGUGAAGAUGCAGUGUACCCGCGGCAAGACGGAAAGACCCCGUGAACCUUUACUAUAGCUUGACACUGAACAUUGAGCCUUGAUGUGUAGGAUAGGUGGGAGGCUUUGAAGUGUGGACGCCAGUCUGCAUGGAGCCGACCUUGAAAUACCACCCUUUAAUGUUUGAUGUUCUAACGUGGACCCGUUACCCGGGUUGCGGACAGUGUCUGGUGGGUAGUUUGACUGGGGCGGUCUCCUCCUAAAGAGUAACGGAGGAGCACGAAGGUUGGCUAAUCCUGGUCGGACAUCAGGAGGUUAGUGCAAUGGCAUAAGCCAGCUUGACUGCGAGCGUGACGGCGCGAGCAGGUGCGAAAGCAGGUCAUAGUGAUCCGGUGGUUCUGAAUGGAAGGGCCAUCGCUCAACGGAUAAAAGGUACUCCGGGGAUAACAGGCUGAUACCGCCCAAGAGUUCAUAUCGACGGCGGUGUUUGGCACCUCGAUGUCGGCUCAUCACAUCCUGGGGCUGAAGUAGGUCCCAAGGGUAUGGCUGUUCGCCAUUUAAAGUGGUACGCGAGCUGGGUUUAGAACGUCGUGAGACAGUUCGGUCCCUAUCUGCCGUGGGCGCUGGAGAACUGAGGGGGGCUGCUCCUAGUACGAGAGGACCGGAGUGGACGCAUCACUGGUGUUCGGGUUGUCAUGCCAAUGGCACUGCCCGGUAGCUAAAUGCGGAAGAGAUAAGUGCUGAAAGCAUCUAAGCACGAAACUUGCCCCGA
This 1607-nucleotide ribosomal RNA is filed under the name Salmonella enterica subsp. enterica serovar Enteritidis. RNAcentral's name for it is "partial 23S ribosomal RNA". It matches the Rfam family "Bacterial large subunit ribosomal RNA", at positions 1213 to 2802 of the family's 2925-position model. The record is from RNAcentral. Lineage: Bacteria; Pseudomonadati; Pseudomonadota; Gammaproteobacteria; Enterobacterales; Enterobacteriaceae.